Molecule: unclassified non-coding RNA, 341 nt
Organism: Chlorocebus sabaeus (green monkey)
Lineage: Eukaryota; Metazoa; Chordata; Mammalia; Primates; Cercopithecidae
Gene: 7SK
Rfam family: 7SK RNA
About the family: 7SK was discovered as an abundant small nuclear RNA in the mid-70s but a possible function has only recently been suggested. Two independent studies have found that 7SK RNA binds the CDK9/cyclin T complex (known as elongation factor P-TEFb). P-TEFb activates transcription by phosphorylating the C-terminal domain of RNA polymerase II.
Source: Ensembl
AGAUGUGAGGCUGAUCUGGCUGUAACAUCUGUCACCCCAUUACUCACCAGGGUAGAUUCAGCUGAUCUGGCUAGUGAGGCCGGUGUCCCCUUCCUCCCUCACUGCUCCACGUGACUCCUUCCCGAAGCUGUGCCCUCAGUAGAAGAGGACGACCAUCCACAAUAGAAGGGGACUGGUCUUUGGUCAAGGGUGUAAGGGUAGCUGUGCUCCCCUGCUAGAACCUCCAAACAAGCUGUCAAGGUUCAUAAACGUGAUUUUGUUACAAUUGUUAUAUGAUCAAUAAUUGAGCUUCAUCGUAAUGGUGUUCAAAGAUCCCUGCACUUUGGAGUCAGGGAGCCUCU